This 502-nucleotide ribosomal RNA is filed under the name uncultured bacterium. Its description in RNAcentral is "bacterial SSU rRNA". It matches the Rfam family "Bacterial small subunit ribosomal RNA", at positions 8 to 507 of the family's 1533-position model. The record is from RNAcentral.
AGAGUUUGAUCAUGGCUCAGAUUAAACGCUGGCGGCAUGCCUUACCCAUGCAAGUCGAACGGUAGCGCGGGGCAACCUGGCGACGAGUGGCGAACGGGUGAGUAAAGCAUCGGAACGUGCCCUGGAAUGGGGGAUAACGUAGCGAAAGUUACGCUAAUACCGCAUAUUCUGUGAGCAGGAAAGCAGGGGAUCGCAAGACCUUGCGUUCUGGGAGCGGCCGAUGUCGGAUUAGCUAGUUGGUGGGGUAAAAGCCUACCAAGGCGACGAUCCGUAGCGGGUCUGAGAGGAUGAUCCGCCACACUGGGACUGAGACACGGCCCAGACUCCUACGGGAGGCAGCAGUGGGGAAUUUUGGACAAUGGGCGGAAGCCUGAUCCAGCCAUGCCGCGUGAGUGAAGAAGGCCUUCGGGUUGUAAAGCUCUUUCGGUGGGGAAGAAAUUGCACGGGUUAAUACCCUGUGUAGAUGACGGUACCCGACUAAGAAGCACCGGCUAACUACGUG